UGCAAGUCGCACGAGAAAGUGGAGCAAUCCAUGAGUACAGUGGCGUACGGGUGAGUAACACGUGGGUAAUCUACCUCUGAGUGGGGAAUAACCCUGGGAAACCGGGGCUAAUACCGCAUAUUCUCGAGAGAGGAAAGCAGCAAUGCGCUGAGAGAGGAGCCCGCGGCCGAUUAGCUAGUUGGCAGGGUAAAAGCCUACCAAGGCAUAGAUCGGUAGCCGGCCUGAGAGGGCACACGGCCACACUGGCACUGAAACACGGGCCAGACUCCUACGGGAGGCAGCAGUGGGGAAUCUUGCACAAUGGGGGAAACCCUGAUGCAGCGACGCCGCGUGAGCGAUGAAGCCCCUCGGGGUGUAAAGCUCUUUCGGCAGGGAAGAUGAUGACGGUACCUGCAGAAGCAGCUGCGGCUAACUACGUGCCAGCAGCCGCGGUAAUACGUAGGCAGCGAGCGUUGUUCGGAGUUACUGGGCGUAAAGGGUGUGUAGGCGGUUGUUUAAGUUUGGUGUGAAAUCUCCCGGCUCAACUGGGAGGGUGCGCCGAAUACUGAAUGACUUCGAGUGCGGGAGAGGAGAGUGGAAUUCCUGGUGUAGCGGUGAAAUGCGUAGAUAUCAGGAGGAACACCGGCGGUGUAGACGGCUCUCUGGACCGUAACUGACGCUGAAACACGAAAGCGUGGGUAGCAAACAGGAUUAGAUACCCUGGUAGUCCACGCCCUAAACGAUGCAUAUUUGGUGUGGGUCAUUCAGUUGAUCCGUGCCGGAGCUAACGCGUUAAAUAUGCCGCCUGGGGAGUACAGUCGCAAGGCUGAAACUCAAAGGAAUUGACGGGGGCCCGCACAAGCGGUGGACAUGUGGUUCAAUUCGACGCAACGCGAAGAACCUUACCUGGGCUCGAACGG
RNAcentral lists this ribosomal RNA (899 nucleotides) under uncultured bacterium. RNAcentral describes it as "bacterial SSU rRNA". It matches the Rfam family "Bacterial small subunit ribosomal RNA", at positions 56 to 988 of the family's 1533-position model. The record is from RNAcentral.